UACAGAGGGUGCGAGCGUUAAUCGGAAUUACUGGGCGUAAAGCGCACGUAGGCGGCUUGGUAUGUCGGGUGUGAAAUCCCCGGGCUCAACCUGGGAACUGCAUCCGAAACUGCCUUGCUAGAGUAUGGGAGAGGGAAGCGGAAUUCCCGGUGUAGUGGUGAAAUGCGUAGAUAUCGGGAGGAACACCAGUGGCGAAGGCGGCUUCCUGGCCUGUUCUUGACGCUGAGGCGCGAAAGCUAGGGGAGCAAACGGG
This 253-nucleotide ribosomal RNA is filed under the name uncultured bacterium. Its description in RNAcentral is "partial 16S ribosomal RNA". It matches the Rfam family "Bacterial small subunit ribosomal RNA", at positions 524 to 776 of the family's 1533-position model. The record is from RNAcentral.